This 723-nucleotide ribosomal RNA is filed under the name uncultured Acidobacteriota bacterium. Its description in RNAcentral is "bacterial SSU rRNA". It matches the Rfam family "Bacterial small subunit ribosomal RNA", at positions 31 to 771 of the family's 1533-position model. The record is from RNAcentral. Lineage: Bacteria; Pseudomonadati; Acidobacteriota.
GAACGCUGGCGGCGUGCUUAACACAUGCAAGUCGAGUGCGCGGUUGUAGCAAUACAACUGGCGCACGGCGCACGGGUGCGUAACACGUGGGUAACCUGCCCUUUGGUGGGGAAUAACUCCGCGAAAGCGGAGCUAAUUCCGCAUAAGAUCCGCAAGGAUGAAAGCCGCAAGGCGCCGAAGGAGGGGCCCGCGCCCGAUUAGCUAGUUGGUGAGGUAAUGGCUCACCAAGGCAUUGAUCGGUAGCUGGUCUGAGAGGAUGAUCAGCCACACUGGAACUGAGACACGGUCCAGACUCCUACGGGAGGCAGCAGUGGGGAAUCUUGCACAAUGGGCGAAAGCCUGAUGCAGCGACGCCGCGUGGGGGAUGAAGCAUUUCGGUGUGUAAACCCCUUUCGAUCCGGACGAAACCCCGCAAGGGAUUGACGGUACGGAUAUAAGAAGCCCCGGCUAACUACGUGCCAGCAGCCGCGGUAAGACGUAGGGGGCCAGUGUUGUUCGGAAUUACUGGGUGUAAAGGGUUCGUAGGCGGUGCGGCAAGUCGGGAGUGAAAUCUCUGGGCUUAACCCAGAGGCUGCUUCCGAAACUGCUGUGCUUGAGUGUGGGAGAGGCGCGUGGAAUUGCAGGUGUAGCGGUGAAAUGCGUAGAUAUCUGCAGGAACACCCGUGGCGAAAGCGGCGCGCUGGACCACUACUGACGCUGAGUGAACGAAAGCUAGGGGAGCAA